AGAAUGGAUUGUGGUCAUUGCUUUUGCAACUCCUUUUUGUUUUAGGUGCUUGUCAGAAGCACACUCACCUUGUUCAUGCCUGAUGUGGGAGCUUUGGGCUAAGAAGUGUCGAGAUGAGUCAGAAACUAUUAAUUGGAUAACCGUUCAUACAAAACCAUGACCAAAGUGUCACAAACCAGUGGAGAAGAAUGGUGGUUGUAACUUGGUUAGUUGUAUCUGUGGUCAAGCAUUUUGUUGGUUGUGCGGUGGAGCUACUGGCCGAGAGCAUACUUGGUCAAGUAUAGCUGGUCAUAGUUGUGGUCCUACAAAGAGCAAGAAAAAAC
RNAcentral lists this small RNA (323 nucleotides) under Vigna angularis var. angularis. Its description in RNAcentral is "Non-protein coding transcript". The record is from RNAcentral. Lineage: Eukaryota; Viridiplantae; Streptophyta; Magnoliopsida; Fabales; Fabaceae.